RNAcentral lists this ribosomal RNA (250 nucleotides) under uncultured prokaryote. RNAcentral's name for it is "partial 16S ribosomal RNA". It matches the Rfam family "Bacterial small subunit ribosomal RNA", at positions 524 to 773 of the family's 1533-position model. The record is from RNAcentral.
UACGUAUGGAGCAAGCGUUAACCGGAUUUACUGGGCGUAAAGGGAGCGUAGACGGUUAAGCAAGUCUGAUGUGGAAGGUGUGGGCUCAACCCGCAAACUGCAUUGGAAACUGUUUAACUGGAAUGUCGGAGAGGUAAGUGGAAUUCCUAGUGUAGCGGUGAAAUGCGUAGAUAUUAGGAGGAACACCAGCGGCGAAGGCGGCUUACUGGACGAUAACUGACGUUGAGGCUCGAAAGCGUGGGGAGCAAAC